GACGAACGCUGGCGGCGUGCCUAAUACAUGCAAGUCGAGCGGACCGACGGGAGCUUGCUCCCUUAGGUCAGCGGCGGACGGGUGAGUAACACGUGGGUAACCUGCCUGUAAGACUGGGAUAACUCCGGGAAACCGGGGCUAAUACCGGAUGCUUGAUUGAACCGCAUGGUUCAAUCAUAAAAGGUGGCUUUCAGCUACCACUUACAGAUGGACCCGCGGCGCAUUAGCUAGUUGGUGAGGUAACGGCUCACCAAGGCGACGAUGCGUAGCCGACCUGAGAGGGUGAUCGGCCACACUGGGACUGAGACACGGCCCAGACUCCUACGGGAGGCAGCAGUAGGGAAUCUUCCGCAAUGGACGAAAGUCUGACGGAGCAACGCCGCGUGAGUGAUGAAGGUUUUCGGAUCGUAAAACUCUGUUGUUAGGGAAGAACAAGUACCGUUCGAAUAGGGCGGCACCUUGACGGUACCUAACCAGAAAGCCACGGCUAACUACGUGCCAGCAGCCGCGGUAAUACGUAGGUGGCAAGCGUUGUCCGGAAUUAUUGGGCGUAAAGCGCGCGCAGGCGGUUUCUUAAGUCUGAUGUGAAAGCCCCCGGCUCAACCGGGGAGGGUCAUUGGAAACUGGGGAACUUGAGUGCAGAAGAGGAGAGUGGAAUUCCACGUGUAGCGGUGAAAUGCGUAGAGAUGUGGAGGAACACCAGUGGCGAAGGCGACUCUCGGGUCUGUAACUGACG
This 736-nucleotide ribosomal RNA is filed under the name uncultured Bacillus sp. RNAcentral's name for it is "bacterial SSU rRNA". It matches the Rfam family "Bacterial small subunit ribosomal RNA", at positions 28 to 745 of the family's 1533-position model. The record is from RNAcentral. Lineage: Bacteria; Bacillati; Bacillota; Bacilli; Caryophanales; Bacillaceae.